GACAAACGCUGGCGGCGUGCCUAACACAUGCAAGUCGCACGUCCUUCGCUUUUCGGAGCGGAGGAAGUGGCGGACGGGUGAGUAACACGUGGAUACCUACCUUCAAGUGAGGAAUACCGGCGAGAAAUCGCCGACAAUACCGCAUACGCUUCUCUUGCAAAAGAGAAGCAAAGCCGCGAGGCGCUGGAAGAUGGGUCUGCGUCCGAUUAGCUAGCUGGUGGGGUAAAGGCUCACCAGGGCGACGAUCGGUCGCUGGUCUGAGAGGAUGAUCAGCCAC
This 277-nucleotide ribosomal RNA is filed under the name uncultured bacterium. RNAcentral's name for it is "partial 16S ribosomal RNA". It matches the Rfam family "Bacterial small subunit ribosomal RNA", at positions 28 to 311 of the family's 1533-position model. The record is from RNAcentral.